UUAGUUUUAUCUAAUUAUUGAGUCAAUUUUUAAAUAUUUUUUAUUUUAUUUUUAUAUAUAUUUUUUCACAAUUUGGAAAAAACAUCUAAAUAAAAUUUGGUACCACUAAAUGAUAUUACUUUUUUAAUUAAUGUGAUCUUUUCUAUAGUGGGCAUACAUAUAUAAAAAAAAAAAAUAAGUAAUUAAUUUUCUCAACAUGAUCCUUAAAACUUCAGAAUGAAAGGUGACAUCCCAGAAACAUACAAGUUAGUAGUAUAUACUAUAAAAAAAUGUUACAAAUUUGGAAACUUCUAUCCUACCAAAAAGAAAUCACUAGGUACAAAUUUACAUGAAAAAGAAACCUUGCAUUAGUGAUACCAUCGAUUAUCAACAACCAUUGCCUCCAUUGUAGGGUCACUUUGAGAAUUCUACUGUACUAACAGUACAUAUUAAAACACCAUAAAACAUUCAAUAAUUGAUCUCCACUUGUAGGUUAGGGUGUCAUUAGACUAUCAUUAGUGUUACCAAACAUUCAUUAUUUGUAGCAUGCAGUAAUUGUUUAUUAGUAAAAACAAGGAACAUUAGUGGUUUAUGUCAGGUGUGGAGGAAGCGUGCUAGAUUAAGGGAUGCAUGUUAUGAACAAAAAAAGAAAUCAAAGAAUCAAAUAUCUGCAUCAAAAGCAUCAUAAUCAAUCAGUAAGCUUUGUUUGGUAUCUUUAGUCUUAAAACCUACUUCACUACUCACAAGUGCCCUUAAGAAUACCCUAAUAUCCAAAAACAAUUAUAACAUAUGGUCAGUAGGUACUUUUAGAAGAAAAAUAAUAUCAUUUUCUAUAAAUUAAUUUAUCUAUUAACUUAUUUUAUUUUAUGAUUUUUUAUUUUUUUAUUUUAAAAAAAAGGGCUUAUGAAAAAAAAUUCAAAGUCAUAUUUUGAUUAAUAUUGAAAUUCAUUUUGUCCUUACUUGGAAGGUCCCCGCAGGGCAAAACAAAGUGGUAACUAUUUACCAACAUUUGUCAAUAUGUAUUCAUAUGUAAUGAUUUUAUUUGGCUCGUAUUAAAAAUUGUUAAUAACACAUUCUUUAGGAGUUAAGCACAAUUUUAAACACUCUACUGAUAAUUAAAAUUAUAUAAACUUCACUCUUACAUGAGGUUCGUGUUACUUUUAAUAUAUGGAUAUUAGAUAAGAUGAAAACAUGUAUUAAAUUGUAUUUCGUUAAUAAUCUUUUAAUAAAAAACAACAUAUAAAAACAUGUAAGAAGGUUUACAAUAACUCACUCACACGCCCACCCUGUUCAAUGAAUUGAGGAAUCAAAUUAUGAUUGCAAUUGAAAUUUGGAGUUUAUCACAUGAACUAAUUGCUCAAAACAUUCUAUGAAAAUAUCACUUCUGAAUCAUAUAUUAUUAAUUAAGGCUGCAGACUAAUACAAACCAUCACCAGCAUCUUCAAAAAGCUGUCUGCAAAGAAGAUGCAAAUAUACUAUAAAGUUUGCAUACCAGCAGGCAUGAUAAUCAAGAAUGAACACUAAGAUCAUUAUCAAAACAAGUAAAACACUGUUUAAUAGCAUGUAGAGAAAAAAAACAUCACAGACACAUUCAAGAAGAAAAAAACUCCUUAAAAGACCAAACUACAGUUUGGAAAGUUAUUCUUUAUCAAAAUAAAUAAAAAGUGUCUUGCAUAAACCAAACAUAUUAUAUACCUAGGUGAAAAUUAUGUAUAUGCUUCCAAAUAAAAUAAUAUAUAAUUCAAGAAAAUUGAUAUGUGAUAUCAUACAUAAAAACUGCUAAUUGUGCAUUCACUGGAACAAAAAACCCGUAAUGAAAGGUGAAGACGAAUCUCGUUUCCAAUACUCAAUUUUUUUGAUUGUGUAUUCAUUUGUAUAUGUUGAAGUUCUUAUCUGGACUGUUUCUAUUAUGACAUGAGCCUAAGAUCAUCAUAAAACUUUUUUUUUUUUUACAAGCAAAAUACAUAUAUUAAAUACCAUUCUGCAAAAGAAGUGCAGUUGAAUCGCAUUCACACGACAACAAAAGCAAAUAUCUCCAAAACAUUUGUGAAGCAAAAUACAAGCAUGUGACAAAAUAGUAAGAACCCUGCAUAAUUUUCUCUACCAACCUACCCUUUAACAUUCUUUUCAUUGAAAUGGCCUCCUAACAUUCAUUUGGGUCAGUUUUUGCCUCAUCUUGUCAAAGAAAAACUGCUCUUGAAGUUGCCUCAACCAAGCUUUUACCUAAUGACAGCAAUGCCAAGGUUAUAAAUUAUGCAACUUUACUCAAUAUGCAGUCACCACCUCAGUAACAAUUGGAGAAAAUUAUUCAGCUUCAUUUAAACAUGUACAAAAGAAUCAACAGUGAUUAGAAUAGAUUAUGUGGAUAAGACUUUUGUUGUUGCUAUUGUUUGGAUAUAGUAUAAAAGCAUUUUAUACAUGUUUUGGUAAAUAUAAUAACUGUUUCAGUAUUCAAAAGUCAUAGAUAGUUCUUAAGAUAGUUAAAGAUUUGAAACAUUGAAUAUAACAAACCUCUCCUACUUCAACAAUUUUUCUUCUAAGUUAUGGUUGUGACUAAUCCAUAACAACAAAUUAUCACAAGAGUCGAUCAUAACCUUAAAUUUCAAAAUCAUGUUAUUGGACCAAAGAUCCAUAGAGCUCUCAACAACACUGCACCUGUAUAAAUAAUAUAACUGUCGAAAUCAUAAAUGAAAUAAUUAUCCAUCACUUCCAACAAAGUGAACUUUUCCAUUAUAUACACCAUUUAUAUUGCCAUUUUAUUUUGGGUUGUCGUUGUGCUAACUGUGUAUGUUCAUAUUGUCUCUAUCAGUCCAACUACAAACUGAUAUAUUACAGAAAGAAAUGCAAAAAAAAUAGCUACAAAAUAUAGAAAUUUAUACUAACGACUACAAAUUUAUUUAUAAUCACAAAAGUACAUAAAUCAAAUAGAAAUUAGACCAUCAAUAAAAUCACAAUAAUAUAAAAAGUUGCACAAAUUAGCCAGUUACCUUAACAGAAUCAGGAGAUUGCGUGUCAUUCAUUCGACAGCAUCUUAAAAUUCUCUCAAGCCUAUUAGUAUCAACAAAAGAUCAAUUUCCAACUUAAAAUCAUAAGAUAAUUGGAUGCACUGCUCAAAACUGCAUUAGAUCAUGCCACAAAUCAUCGAAUAUGACUCUUGAAGAAAUGUUAACAAAUAGAGCAUUCAGUUAUAAGAAAGGAGGUAGGUAUGCUAGUUUCCUUAACAUGUCUUAAGGCUAUUAGUUCUGAAAAGUUGUUUUAGCUAUACUUUUAUUUAUUUAUGUAGAUGUAGGACCAUGCAAGGUGAAUUUGUCUAACCACUACACGUACAACUGGAAUAAAGAGUUUGAUUGCUAAACCUUUUCAGUAACAAAUUGAUAUGUGUUUCUUGUCCGACACAGCCACGAUAUAAAAAUAUCAGCACUCUUUCAAUGUGAUGAAUAAAGAGCAAUUAUAACAAGUACAUAUUUUACUGUUAUAAGGAAGGUAAUACAACAGUUACAACUAAGAAAGAUUCAGUUUAUGCUUUGUAUCAGCUCAGCAUCAAACUCAACAAGAAAAGUUGCAAACUGUUCACAUAAAAUGCAUAUUUAUCAGGUUAUUGAGAUCCAACCAGAACCUUAAAGCAGUAUUAGAAAACAUAGGAAAAAGAAAAAAACAAAAAAUAACAAAGUAAAAUCAUUUGACCACUGCUCACCAAACUCCUGUUUCAAAAUGGGGUAUUAUUCUGACAAGUUUUGGUGGGUAAUGAUAAACCCUAUAUUCAUCACCCUAAGAAUAGGGUUGUUUGCUAAGAAUGAGAGCAGCACAAAAUAGUAGCGUUUGGAGAUUGUAACUAAUUGAGCCAAAUACUGCUUCAGGUGAGAACAUUACAGCAAUGAACAACUUGAUGGCCCGCAUACUCUAUAUACUUAAAAUAUGAAAGGCUAUGAAAUCAGAAAAACGAUAUAAUAGCUAGCUAGAUGCUAGAAAGUGAACAACAACAAGUGUGGACCAUACUAUAUAACGUGUAUGGUCCCUCCCACUCGCUACCAUACAAAUACACAUAAAAAAGCUAAAAAAACGGUGCCCCUCAAGGUCUGCACAAUAACCAGGGUACCUUGUGCAAGGUAAUGCUAUCAAAAGUCACACUUAUCCAUUUUGUAAGGACUAGUAUACUAUAAACCAUAAUAAAGCCAAUCAAACAACACGUAUGCUCCAGUUUGAACUAUAAUUAUAGUAACAGUUAAAAUAAAACAAAAUAACAAGAUACAUAUUAGCAAAACACCAAAGACAUAUAUAACUUUACUCACUGUUAAUGUUAAUGAAAUAUAUAACCACAGUAAGAGACAUUUUUUCAUGAGCUGCAUCAGAGAGAGAGACAGAGAAGAUGAUGUGGUUUGUUUAUGGAGCAACUUAGUAGACUGGAGAAUUUUCUGGCACUGAAAACCGACAGAAAGAGUAGUGAGCACACAAAAGCAGUGAUAUAGAGUUAUAUCAUAUGCCUCUUUGUGCUCACUCUCUUCUGUCAAUUUCUGUCCAAAUAGAAGGAAUUAAAGAAACUAAGUACACAUACAAUAGCAUCCCAAAUAUGGAAAGUUCACAACAAAAGGUUUGGAAAAACCUGAAGGGAAAAAUAAAAGCCACACAACUGAGUCAGAUCUGGGGAGGAAAAAUGUGAUAUCCAUUAAAGGAAAACUUCACGAACCUGGUGUGCUAAAAAGGUGGAAAAUCUAGGAUCUGACAUGCAUGUUCUCAGAGGAACACAAUUCUGAGAAUUUAGGGUUUGUCACCAACAACCUCAGUCCCACAAAUAAGGACACAAACCAGAAAAACAAACCCCAGAAGAUGAAUCAAGAGACGAGGAAGAGGAUGAAAUGAUUUUGAGACGAUAAAAAAGAACAAAAAAAAAAGGGUAUUAACACCAUAAAACAAACUCCAAUCAAAACCAUGUUGGAACACACAAAACUCCUUCUCUCUCUCUCUUCAUGUCUGACUUUCUGUACAUUGAGUCAGAAAGAGUCAUGCAAAACGUAGAGCUGACAAGUAGCAAGGUUACCAGAUCGGUGUGACAGAUCUAUGUGCAUGAUGGGGUGUGAGAAACUGAGAGGGUUGCAAUAAAUAGAUGAGAAAGUGGUGAGUUGAAAUGAAAUAAAAAGAGCAAAAAGAGAAUGCAAUUUGUUAUGUGUGUAGGAGUAGGAAAAGGGCAAAGAUCUUAUCCUAACAAUGGAAAUGGAAAUGGAAAUGGAGCAGCCUUUUGGUUUUGGUGUGUGGAGUGUGUGAAGUGUGUGGAAGAGAGUGGUAGAUAUAUAGUAGUUUAAUGGUACACUCAGAGAAAAUGGGGUUUGGGUUUCCCACUUACGCUAGCAAAAUUAUCAUUAUUAUCAUCACCCAUUCUCUCUCACUCUUCUCUUUUUGGGAACACAAA
This 5383-nucleotide long non-coding RNA is filed under the name Phaseolus vulgaris (common bean). Its description in RNAcentral is "long non-coding RNA (PVUL_LNC004826)". Lineage: Eukaryota; Viridiplantae; Streptophyta; Magnoliopsida; Fabales; Fabaceae. The record is from RNAcentral.